RNAcentral lists this ribosomal RNA (376 nucleotides) under uncultured Gammaproteobacteria bacterium. Its description in RNAcentral is "bacterial SSU rRNA". It matches the Rfam family "Bacterial small subunit ribosomal RNA", at positions 521 to 896 of the family's 1533-position model. Lineage: Bacteria; Pseudomonadati; Pseudomonadota; Gammaproteobacteria. The record is from RNAcentral.
UAAUACGGAGGGUGCAAGCGUUAAUCGGAAUUACUGGGCGUAAAGCGUGCGCAGGCGGUUUGUUAAGUCAGAUGUGAAAGCCCCGGGCUCAACCUGGGAACUGCAUUUGAUACUGGCAAACUAGAGUGUGGUAGAGGGAAGUGGAAUUCCUCAUGUAGCGGUGAAAUGCGUAGAUAUGAGGAGGAACACCAGUGGCGAAGGCGACUUCCUGGACCAACACUGACGCUCAUGUACGAAAGCGUGGGUAGCAAACAGGAUUAGAUACCCUGGUAGUCCACGCCGUAAACGAUGUCUACUAGCCGUUGGGGGGCUUGUCCCUUUAGUGGCGCAGCUAACGCGAUAAGUAGACCGCCUGGGGAGUACGGUCGCAAGAUUA